UGAACGCUAGCGGCAGGCUUAACACAUGCAAGUCGAGGGGUAUAGUUCUUCGGAAUUAGAGACCGGCGCACGGGUGCGUAACGCGUAUGCAAUCUACCUUUCACAGAGGGAUAGCCCAGAGAAAUUUGGAUUAAUACCUCAUAGUAUAGCAGUUUCGCAUGAAACCACUAUUAAAGUCACAACGGUGAAAGAUGAGCAUGCGUCCCAUUAGCUAGUUGGUAAGGUAACGGCUUACCAAGGCAACGAUGGGUAGGGGUCCUGAGAGGGAGAUCCCCCACACUGGUACUGAGACACGGACCAGACUCCUACGGGAGGCAGCAGUGAGGAAUAUUGGACAAUGGGCGCAAGCCUGAUCCAGCCAUGCCGCGUGCAGGAUGACGGUCCUAUGGAUUGUAAACUGCUUUUAUACAGGAAGAAACACUACUUCGUGAAGUAGCUUGACGGUACUGUAAGAAUAAGGAUCGGCUAACUCCGUG
This 476-nucleotide ribosomal RNA is filed under the name uncultured bacterium. RNAcentral describes it as "bacterial SSU rRNA". It matches the Rfam family "Bacterial small subunit ribosomal RNA", at positions 30 to 507 of the family's 1533-position model. The record is from RNAcentral.